Molecule: unclassified non-coding RNA, 1022 nt
Filed under: Sitophilus oryzae (rice weevil)
Lineage: Eukaryota; Metazoa; Arthropoda; Insecta; Coleoptera; Curculionidae
Description: uncharacterized LOC115884078, transcript variant X1
Source: RNAcentral
AUCAUCUACAGACGAUGACCUCAACAGCAGGAACAAAAUGUUUACAGCAUCAGCGGCCGAGUUCAAGGGCAAGAGCAGCAACAGCGGUUUCCUGAAGCGUUUGUCUCGGUUGAACACAUCAGCAUCAUGAACGAAAUGAACAAACCUCCGAAAUACGAUGACGCUCCUCCAUCAUAUGAAGAAGCCAUCAAAAUCGCAAUGGCCCAAAACAAUUCGAUGGAAACUCUGCGAGCAGAACAGGCAGGCGUGCACCAAGCAAGUAGCAGUUCCUCUGUGACUGUUGUACAGCCUGCUGUACCAAAUCGAACGACUGAAUAGUAUUAAGUUUAAAAAUUAUGUUUUAAAAUUCGAUAUUAAAAAAAUAAGAACUUAGAGUUCUUGUUCUAGAGACAAUAAAGAAAUUGUCGUCAAGCAAAACUAAAGGUUGUCAAAAUUACUUUAUAGUAUUAUUAUAUAUUUUCAGUUACUAUCAGAAUGUUCUAACAGUUUUUGUGAUAUUCAUAUAUACAUAAUUAUGUAUAGAAAAAUUAAUAAUAUAUUUUUUUUACCUCCUGUUUAUCUAUAUUCCAACUGAGAUAUUAAUAUAACAUAUAUAACGUAAAAAUGUCGAAAGUGAGCGCGUGUGAAUGAGGAAGAAUGAUUAAUGUAAAGUUUAUUAAAGACUAAGAUGCACAAACUCAAGAGGUAUGCACGCGAAGAGUAAAUGCUACCGUAAUGUAUUACUGUAACAAUUUCCUGUAGGUACUGAUAUAUGUGUACAUAUAUUAUAUUAAGUGUAUUGCUGUCGUACAACUGUUCAAGUGCAUUCCUCAUGUAUUUCUUUGCCGUUUAGUGUAUCUUAGCGCUGUUUAAACUGUAAUAAUUAUAUUAAAAUGUAUUUAGUGUACAUAAUAUUUAUAUAAGCGUAUUUUCUACCAUUAAUUACAUAUAGUGAUUAGUAAAAUUUAUAUUAACUUUAUUCGCAUUUUGUUGUGAUAUUCAAAACUAUAAAGAUCCAGAAAAAUCUCAAGAAUUUAUUUAUG